CUCUCUAAGUUAAUCAUCAAACAAUUCUGCAAUAAUCGACACAGGAAGUAGCAUUUGAAUAGCACAUGAAAUGAAUGUCAACUUGCAGCCAGCUGUGAAGACAGAGCAUGAAUUCAAGCAUGGCAACAGCACAGAUGACAUCAUACUGCAUUAAGAAGAUGGUGCCAUUCUCAUGCAAGCACAGAGAGAGAGAGAGAGAGAGGGAGACUUGUUGUAAUUGACCUUUUAUUAUGAGCAAAUCAACACAAAAGACCACACAUACAGUAACAUUUGAAAUCAGACCUCUCGGAAAUGUACAGAAUAAAAACCCUAACAUUGUGUGUCAUUAUUAUCAUUUUAAAUACUGAUAAGGUAUAAAAACAAAUAUAUAUUUUUUUGCUCGUUUAAAUAAAUGGGCCAAACUAUCCUCUUGUUUACAUCAUGCCUUUGUAAAACAUGCAAAAUUAAAGCUGAACUGACUAAACCCUCAAAAAACACUUUCCCGUUUCCCCUUCAGAAUUCAAAACAAAACUAUGAGGGAAAAACAACCAAAACAAAACAAA
This is a long non-coding RNA of Alosa sapidissima (American shad), 542 nucleotides long. RefSeq lists it as uncharacterized. NCBI's taxonomy places the organism in Eukaryota, Metazoa, Chordata, Actinopteri, Clupeiformes, Clupeidae. The record is from RefSeq and is a predicted model, not a curated record. The transcript is spliced from 2 exons.